This is a long non-coding RNA of Gallus gallus (chicken), 1149 nucleotides long. RefSeq lists it as uncharacterized. The record is from RefSeq and is a predicted model, not a curated record. The transcript has 3 exons. Lineage: Eukaryota; Metazoa; Chordata; Aves; Galliformes; Phasianidae.
AUGUCACUGAGGCGGAGCAGGAGUGGCACCAACAGCAUGGGCAGGUGGUGCAAUACAGUAUUUUGGGCAGCAUCCUGGGCAGCCCCCAUCCGGACCUGCAUUGGUUCCCCACGUGCCGCUACAUAACACGUUUGAGACUCUGGAACCUGAGGGAGAGGAAGAAGACUGGUGUGGAUGAACACAGAGCUCUUCCUGAGGCUUGAGGAGAAAAUUUUCCUUCCACAGAAGAAGGGACAGGAAGCUUGAGCAUUCCUUGUCAACUGAAGAGGUUCCAGAGGGUUGGAGGCUUGCCAGUAUGACUUCCAUGUACAGGAAAAGUCAUGAAGAAGAUCUGGAGAACUGCAGGCCUGUCAGCCUGACCCCAGUGCCGGAAAGGUUAUGGAGCAGGUCAUCUUGAUGGAGAUCACAUAGCAUGUGCAGGACAACCCGGCCAUCAAGCCUUACCCGACAUGGGUUCAUGAAAGGCAGGUCCUACUUGACCAACCUAAUCUCCUUCUAUGAGUGACCUGCUUGGUGCAUGAGGGAAAGGCUGUUGACUUAGUCUACCUAGACAUCAUCAAAGCCUUCAGUACUAUCUCCCACAGUAUUCUUCUGGAGAAGCUACAGCCCAUGGCUUGGACAGGUACACUGGAUAGAUAGGCCUAGAGAGUGGUGGUGAAUGGAGUCACAUCUAGCUGGUGACCGGUCACAAGUGGUGUUCCUCAGGCUGUUGGUACUGGGGCCUAUCUUAUUCAGUAUCUUUAUUGAUGACCUGGACAAGGGUGUUGAGUGCACCCUCAGUAAGUUUGGAGAUGAGACCAAGCUGGGAGGAAGUGUUGAUCUGUCUGGGGGUAGGAAGGCCCUAUGGAGCAAUCUGGGCAGGCUGGAUUGCUGAGCUGAGGCUAACGGGAAUAAGUUCAACAAGGCCAAGUUCUGGAUCUUGCACUUUGGCCACAACGACCCCAGACACCACUGUCAGCUUGGGGCAGAGUGUCUGGAAGACUGUGUGGAAGAUAUGGAUCUGGGUGUGCUGGUUGAUGCUCGGCUGAACAUGAGCCAGCCGUGUUCCCAGGUGGUCAGGAAUGCUAAUGGCAUCCUGGCUUGUAUCAGAAAUAGCGUUGUCAGCAGAGGCAGGGAAGUGAUCAUCCCUCUGUACUCAGCCCUGGUGAG